AUAUAUCGAAGAUGCAGUAUUCUAGUCAAUCCACAUAGUGAGGAAGACGAAAUUCAUAGCGUCGAAGGGCACAUCGAUGAAGUUCCUGGUGCGUGCUUUGGUUGCCCAAACUGGGGUGCGUGCUGGGAGUUAAGAUUUUUGGGCGGGCUAUAACGGCAUAUAGUUAGCGACCCAAUUAUCGUGGAGACCCAACAGGGUGGUAAAACACUCUCUGGGGAGAACCUGCAUUGCGGUAAAAGCCGUGUGCAGUGUAGCCUACUUUGAGUGAAUAUAUUGGGAUAAAAUGUAUACAUAUAAUGUGCUAUUGGCCGAUAGGACUUUAUAUCUGUUUUUGAAAUUGUAUUUGCAAAACAAGAAAAUCAUUAUGUGCUUGCUAAGGAAAACUUCUAGACUGUUGCUUUUUGCAGGCAAGAUUAGGAUUAUAGUGUGUUCUUAGUGGCGAUUCGGUGUUAUGUCUCGCUUGAAAGGAAACUGCUCAAAUGGCGACAUUGAGUGCGGGGCUGGGAAAUCCGACCGAACCUAUGACACAAGGUUUACUAAUUUUGUUGUCUU
This 552-nucleotide small RNA is filed under the name chicken gut metagenome. The record is from RNAcentral.